Molecule: non-coding RNA, 28 nt
Filed under: Rattus norvegicus (Norway rat)
Lineage: Eukaryota; Metazoa; Chordata; Mammalia; Rodentia; Muridae
Source: RNAcentral
CCUUGAGCUGACAUUGUUGGGAAAUGAC